GGUCAGAUCCGUGGAACAUGCGCCAAUGGCCAUCUCAAAUGAUCCAGAAUGCAAGUAAGAUUCAGAUAAGAACUUCUUAAAUAAAAAGGGACUAUUAGAAAAAUGAUGUAUAUUCAGUCAAGCAAAACAUAAAUUACUAGUGAGGAUUGUUCCCCCAAAAAUUGAGAAAUAAUGAGUAUGCAGCUUCUCUAACGAUUGUGCAUUUAUCAGGCCUGCUAGAAUUAAAUGCAGC
This 232-nucleotide long non-coding RNA is filed under the name Daucus carota (carrot). RNAcentral describes it as "long non-coding RNA (DCAR_LNC005678)". The record is from RNAcentral. Lineage: Eukaryota; Viridiplantae; Streptophyta; Magnoliopsida; Apiales; Apiaceae.